This 2585-nucleotide ribosomal RNA is filed under the name Saccharospirillum sp. MSK14-1. RNAcentral describes it as "Bacterial large subunit ribosomal RNA". It matches the Rfam family "Bacterial large subunit ribosomal RNA", at positions 159 to 2785 of the family's 2925-position model. The record is from Rfam by way of RNAcentral. Lineage: Bacteria; Pseudomonadati; Pseudomonadota; Gammaproteobacteria; Oceanospirillales; Saccharospirillaceae.
UGAAUCCAUAGGUGCAAGAGGCGAACCGGGGGAACUGAAACAUCUAAGUACCCCGAGGAAGAGAAAUCAACCGAGAUUCCCUUAGUAGCGGCGAGCGAACGGGGACCAGCCCUUAAGCACCGGGCCAGUUAGUGGAAGGUUCUGGAAAGGACCGCCAUAGUGGGUGAUAGCCCCGUACACGAAAGCUCAACGGUGUGAAAUCGAGUAGGUCGGGACACGUGAUAUCUUGACUGAAGACGGGGGGACCAUCCUCCAAGGCUAAAUACUCCCAGUUGACCGAUAGUGAACCAGUACCGUGAGGGAAAGGCGAAAAGAACCCCGGAGAGGGGAGUGAAAUAGACCCUGAAACCCUGUACGUACAAGCAGUCAGAGCCCUUCGGGGUGAUGGCGUACCUUUUGUAUAAUGGGUCAGCGACUUACAUUACGUGGCGAGGUUAACCGUAUAGGGGAGCCGUAGCGAGAGCGAGUCUUAACUGGGCGUCCAGUCGCGUGAUGUAGACCCGAAACCCGGCGAUCUAUCCAUGGGCAGGUUGAAGGUUGAGUAACAUCAACUGGAGGACCGAACCCACUAAUGUUGAAAAAUUAGGGGAUGACCUGUGGAUCGGAGUGAAAGGCUAAUCAAGCCGGGAGAUAGCUGGUUCUCCUCGAAAGCUAUUUAGGUAGCGCCUCGGACUUAUACCUACGGGGGUAGAGCACUGUUUGGGCUCGGGGGUCAUCCCGACUUACCAACCCCAUGCAAACUCCGAAUACCGUAGAGUACUAUCCGGGAGACACACGGCGGGUGCUAACGUCCGUCGUGGAAAGGGAAACAACCCAGACCGUCAGCUAAGGUCCCAAAAUCCAUGUUAAGUGGGAAACGAUGUGGGAAGGCUUAGACAGCUAGGAGGUUGGCUUAGAAGCAGCCAUCCUUUAAAGAAAGCGUAAUAGCUCACUAGUCGAGUCGGCCUGCGCGGAAGAUAUAACGGGGCUCAAACAUGGUACCGAAGCUACGGACUUGUGCUUGCACAAGUGGUAGAGGAGCGUUCUGUAAGCCGUUGAAGGUGUGUUGAGAAGCAUGCUGGAGGUAUCAGAAGUGCGAAUGCUGACAUGAGUAACGACAAUGCGAGUGAAAAACUCGCACGCCGAAAGACCAAGGGUUCCUGUCCAACGUUAAUCGGGGCAGGGUGAGUCGGCCCCUAAGGCGAGGCUGAAAAGCGUAGUCGAUGGGAAACGGGUUAAUAUUCCCGUACUUGGUUGUACUGCGAUGGGGGGACGGAGAAGGCUAGGUGAUCCGGGCGUUGGUUGUCCUGGUUCAAGUGUGUAGGGAGUGGGAUUAGGCAAAUCCGGUUCCACAAUCCUGAGACACGAUGACGGUCGUUCUACGGAACGCGAAGUCACUGAUGCCCUGCUUCCAGGAAAAGCCUCUAAGCUUCAGGUACAACCGAACCGUACCCGAAACCGACACAGGUGGUCCGGUAGAGAAUACCCAGGCGCUUGAGAGAACUCGGGUGAAGGAACUAGGCAAAAUGGUGCCGUAACUUCGGGAGAAGGCACGCUGGUGUGUACGUGAAGGUCCUGCGACUGGAGCGGAAGCCAGCCGAAGAUACCAGGCCCCUGCGACUGUUUAUUAAAAACACAGCACUCUGCAAACACGAAAGUGGACGUAUAGGGUGUGACGCCUGCCCGGUGCCGGAAGGUUAAUUGAUGGGGUUAGCUUAGGCGAAGCUCUUGAUCGAAGCCCCGGUAAACGGCGGCCGUAACUAUAACGGUCCUAAGGUAGCGAAAUUCCUUGUCGGGUAAGUUCCGACCUGCACGAAUGGCGUAACGAUGGGGGCGCUGUCUCCACCCGAGACUCAGUGAAAUUGAAAUCGCUGUUAAGAUGCAGUGUAUCCGCGGCUAGACGGAAAGACCCCGUGAACCUUUACUACAGCUUCACACUGGACUUUGAACUUGUUUGUGUAGGAUAGCUGGGAGGCUUAGAAACCAUCACGCCAGUGGUGGUGGAGCCGACCUUGAAAUACCAGCCUGGCAAGUUUGAGGUUCUAACUCAGCCCUGUGAUCCAGGGCGAGGACCGUGUGUGGUGGGUAGUUUGACUGGGGCGGUCUCCUCCCAAAGAGUAACGGAGGAGCACGAAGGUACCCUAAGCAUGGUCGGAAAUCAUGCGGUUAGUGUAAUGGCACAAGGGUGCUUGACUGCGAGACGGACAGGUCGAGCAGGUGCGAAAGCAGGUCAUAGUGAUCCGGUGGUUCUGUAUGGAAGGGCCAUCGCUCAACGGAUAAAAGGUACUCCGGGGAUAACAGGCUGAUACCGCCCAAGAGUUCACAUCGACGGCGGUGUUUGGCACCUCGAUGUCGGCUCAUCACAUCCUGGGGCUGAAGCCGGUCCCAAGGGUAUGGCUGUUCGCCAUUUAAAGUGGUACGCGAGCUGGGUUUAGAACGUCGUGAGACAGUUCGGUCCCUAUCUGCCGUGGACGUUGGAAAACUGAGAAGAGCUGCUCCUAGUACGAGAGGACCGGAGUGGACGAACCCCUGGUGUACGGGUUGUGAUGCCAAUCGCAUUGCCCGGUAGCUACGUUCGGACGGGAUAACCGCUGAAAGCAUCUAAG